Molecule: ribosomal RNA, 253 nt
Filed under: uncultured bacterium
Lineage: Bacteria
Description: partial 16S ribosomal RNA
Rfam family: Bacterial small subunit ribosomal RNA
Source: RNAcentral
GACGUAGGGGACGAGCGUUGUCCGGAUUCAUUGGGCGUAAAGCGCGCGUAGGCGGCUCGGAAAGUCGGUCGUGAAAUCCUGGGGCUCAACCCCGGAACUGCGUCCGAUACUCCCGAGCUGGAGGCAGGUAGGGGAGAUCGGAAUUCCUGGUGUAGCGGUGAAAUGCGCAGAUAUCAGGAGGAACACCGGUGGCGAAGGCGGAUCUCUGGGCCUUGCCUGACGCUGAGGCGCGAAAGCUAGGGGAGCGAACAGG